This 206-nucleotide ribosomal RNA is filed under the name uncultured bacterium. RNAcentral's name for it is "partial 16S ribosomal RNA". It matches the Rfam family "Bacterial small subunit ribosomal RNA", at positions 568 to 774 of the family's 1533-position model. The record is from RNAcentral.
CACGUAGGCGGCUUCUUAAGUCAGGGGUGAAAUCCUGGAGCUCAACUCCAGAACUGCCCUUGAUACUGAGAAGCUUGAGUCCGGGAGAGAUGAGUGGAACUGCGAGUGUAGAGGUGAAAUUCGUAGAUAUUCGCAAGAACACCAGUGGCGAAGGCGGCUCACUGGCCCGGUACUGACGCUGAGGUGCGAAAGCGUGGGAGCAAACA